UCAGGCCUAACACAUGCAAGUCGUACGAGAGUUUUUAACUCUAGUGGCGGACGGGUGAGUAACACGUGAGAAUUUGCCUUUAGGAGGGGGACAACAAUUGGAAACGAAUGCUAAUACCCCAUAUGCUUUAGAGUGAAAUGGAUUUUAUCCGCCUAGAGAGAAGCUCGCGGCUGAUUAGCUUGUUGGUAAGGUAAGAGCUUACCAAGGCGACGAUCAGUAUCUGGUUUGAGAGGACGAUCAGACACACUGGAACUGAGACACGGUCCAGACUCCUACGGGAGGCAGCAGUGGGGAAUUUUCCGCAAAGGGCGAAAGCCUGACGGAGCAAUACCGCGUGAGGGAAAAAGGCCUAUGGGUUGUAAACCUCUUUUUCAGGGAGGAAAAAAUGAC
Molecule: ribosomal RNA, 390 nt
Filed under: uncultured bacterium
Lineage: Bacteria
Description: bacterial SSU rRNA
Rfam family: Bacterial small subunit ribosomal RNA
Source: RNAcentral